RNAcentral lists this ribosomal RNA (253 nucleotides) under uncultured bacterium. RNAcentral's name for it is "partial 16S ribosomal RNA". It matches the Rfam family "Bacterial small subunit ribosomal RNA", at positions 524 to 776 of the family's 1533-position model. The record is from RNAcentral.
UACGUAGGGUGCAAGCGUUAAUCGGAAUUACUGGGCGUAAAGCGUGCGCAGGCGGUUUUUUAAGUCAGAUGUGAAAGCCCCGGGCUCAACCUGGGAAUUGCAUUUGAAACUGGGAAACUAGAGUGUGUGAGAGGGGGGUAGAAUUCCAAGUGUAGCGGUGAAAUGCGUAGAUAUUCGGAGGAACACCAGUGGCGAAGGCGGCUCACUGGUCCAUUACUGACGCUGAGGUGCGAAAGCGUGGGGAGCAAACAGG